GAUGAACGCUGGCGGCGUGCCUAAUACAUGCAAGUCGAGCGAACAGACGAGGAGCUUGCUCCUCUGACGUUAGCGGCGGACGGGUGAGUACACGGGGAUAACCUACCUAUAAAACUGGGAUAACUUUGGGAAACCGGAGCUAAUACCGGGUAAUAUAUUUAACCCCAUGGGUUAAUAGGGAAAGACGGGUUUUCUGUCACUUAUUGGUGGAUCCGCGCCUCAUUAGCUAGUUUGUAAGGUAACGGCUUACCAAGGCAACGAGGCGUAGCCAACCUGAGAGGGUGAUCGGCCACACUGGAACUGAGACACGGUCCAGACUCCUACGGGAGGCAGCAGUAGGGAAUCUUCCGCAAUGGGCGAAAGCCUGACGGAGCAACGCCGCGUGAGUGAUGAAGGUCUUCGGAUCGUAAAACUCUGUUAUUAGGGAAGAACAAAUGUGUAAGUAACUAUGCACGUCUUGACGGUACCUAAUCAGAAAGCCACGGCUAACUACGUG
RNAcentral lists this ribosomal RNA (496 nucleotides) under uncultured bacterium. RNAcentral describes it as "partial 16S ribosomal RNA". It matches the Rfam family "Bacterial small subunit ribosomal RNA", at positions 28 to 507 of the family's 1533-position model. The record is from RNAcentral.